RNAcentral lists this ribosomal RNA (273 nucleotides) under uncultured bacterium. RNAcentral describes it as "partial 16S ribosomal RNA". It matches the Rfam family "Bacterial small subunit ribosomal RNA", at positions 524 to 794 of the family's 1533-position model. The record is from RNAcentral.
UACGAGGGGGGCAAGCGUUGUUCGGAAUUAUUGGGCGUAAAGGGCGCGUAGGCGGUGGCUACAGUCAGGCGUGAAAUUCCUGGGCUUAACCUGGGGGCUGCGUUUGAUACGUAGUGGCUAGAGUGGGGAAGAGGGUCGUGGAAUUCCCAGUGUAGAGGUGAAAUUCGUAGAUAUUGGGAAGAACACCGGUGGCGAAGGCGGCGACCUGGUCCUUGACUGACGCUGAGGCGCGAAAGCGUGGGGAGCAAAACAGGAUUGAGAAACCCGGGUAGG